RNAcentral lists this transfer RNA (73 nucleotides) under Verticillium longisporum. RNAcentral's name for it is "Verticillium dahliae var. longisporum tRNA". It matches the Rfam family "tRNA". From Rfam's summary of the family: Transfer RNA (tRNA) molecules are approximately 80 nucleotides in length. The record is from Rfam by way of RNAcentral. Lineage: Eukaryota; Fungi; Ascomycota; Sordariomycetes; Glomerellales; Plectosphaerellaceae.
GCCCGGCUAGCUCAAUCGGUAGAUCGUGAGACUCUUAAUCUCAAGGUUGGGGGUUCGAGCCCCCCGUUGGGCU